Molecule: small nucleolar RNA, 195 nt
Filed under: Eurypyga helias (sunbittern)
Lineage: Eukaryota; Metazoa; Chordata; Aves; Eurypygiformes; Eurypygidae
Description: Small nucleolar RNA U3
Rfam family: Small nucleolar RNA U3
About the family: Small nucleolar RNAs (snoRNAs) are involved in the processing and modification of rRNA in the nucleolus.
Source: Rfam by way of RNAcentral
AGGACUAUACUUUCAGGGAUCAUUUCUGUAGUUGGUCACUAGAGGAGAGUGAUCGCACCUGACCGGCGUCACAAGCCACGAGGAGGAGCGGAGUGCUCUCUCCUGAGCGCGAGGCGGGCGGUGGGCGCUGCGUGUGCAGGAGCCGCCGCCAUCGAUGACCGUUCCCGCCCCUUUGGGGGGGGGAGGGCGAGAGCA